GAUGAAUGCUAGCUACAGGCUUAACACAUGCAGGUCGCGGGGCAGCAUGGGGGUUGCUUGCCACCCCUGAUGGCGACCGGCGCACGGGUGAGUAACGCGUAUCCAACCUGCCCUUCACCACGGGAUAACCCGGCGAAAGUCGGACUAAUACCGUAUGUUGUCCAUUGACGGCAUCCGAUUUGGACGAAAGGCUGGGCGGUGGAAGGAUGGGGAUGCGUCCGGUUAGCUUGACGGCGGGGUAACGGCCCACCGUGGCUACGAUCGGUAGGGGUUCUGGGAGGAAGGUCCCCCACACUGGAACUGAGACACGGUCCAGACUCAUACGGGAGGCAGCAGUGAGGAAUAUUGGUCAAUGGGCGUAAGCCUGAACCAGCCAAGUAGCGUGCCGGAUGGCGGCCCUAUGGGUUGUAAACUGCUUUUAUGCGGGGAUAAAGUGGCCCACGUGUGGGCUUUUGCAGGUACCGCAUGAAUAAGGACCGGCUAAUUCCGUG
Molecule: ribosomal RNA, 491 nt
Filed under: uncultured bacterium
Lineage: Bacteria
Description: partial 16S ribosomal RNA
Rfam family: Bacterial small subunit ribosomal RNA
Source: RNAcentral